RNAcentral lists this ribosomal RNA (3076 nucleotides) under Candidatus Bathyarchaeota archaeon. RNAcentral describes it as "partial 23S ribosomal RNA". It matches the Rfam family "Archaeal large subunit ribosomal RNA", at positions 13 to 2597 of the family's 2987-position model. The record is from RNAcentral. Lineage: Archaea; Thermoproteati; Candidatus Bathyarchaeota.
UGAUACGCCACCUAGAGAAUGGCUUGGCUCAGGCGCCGAAGAAGGGCGUGGCAAGCUGCGAUAAGCCUCGGGUAGGAGCAAGUAUCCUGCGAUCCGAGGAUCCCCGAAUUGGAUACCUUCCGGCGGUGCGCGCAAGCGUGCCGUUGGAACACCCGAAAGGGUGAGGUAACCCACCGAAAGGAAACAUCUGAGUAGGUGGAGGAAGAGAAAUCAACCGAGAUUCCCUGAGUAACGGCGAGUGAAAAGGGAAAAGCCCAAACCGAACCGCGCGUCGAAAGGCGCGUGGGAUGUGGGGUUGAGGACCGGACCUCCUCUCUGCCUGCGAAGUCGAAGAGGCCUGGAAAGGCCCACGAAAAUGGGUGAUAGUCCCGUAGACGUUGGCCGGCGUGAGUUGGGUCUGAGUUCCUGAGUACUGCGCCUCGGAUAUGGCGCAGGAAGCUGGGAGCUAUUCACUUCCAAGGCUAAAUACGUCCUGAGACCGAUAGUGCACCAGUACGGUGACGGAAAGCUGAAAAGAACCCCGAGAGGGGUGUGAAAAGAGCCUGAAACUAGGUGGUUACAGACGUUCACGGCUUGAAAGGGUUUGAAUCCCCCAAAAGUUUCCGGUCGAGAGGCUAGAAGCGAUGGGGGGCUACCAGAGUCGUGAUUUUCGUCUUGAAACACGAGCCGGGGAGUUUAUGGUCGUGGCAAGCCUAAGGGGGUCUAUCCCCGUAAGCGAAGGGAAGCCGACUAGCCUGCAACCGCCCUAACCGGCGGCGAGAGGCGGGGUAGCGAUUGCCCGCAGUCACGGCCUUAAGACUAGAAACCGAACGAUCUAAUCCUGGGCAGGGCGAAGCCGGGCGAAAGCUCGGUGGAGGCUCGAAGGGGUCCUGACGUGCAAUUCGGUCCUCUGACCUGGGAUUAGGGGACAAAAACCAAUCUAGUUCGGUGAUAGCUAGUUCCUUCCGAAAUGGAUCUCAGUCCAGCCCGCCCGGAGGAGGUCGGCAGGGUAGAGCACUGAUCGAUGGGCAAGGCCUCGAAAGAGUCCACCCGUCUUUCAAACUCCGAAUCUGUCGACACCGUAGAUGGGCGGAGACGGGUUCCAGGGGGUAAGCUCCUGGACCGAGAGGGGAACAACCCAGACUAGGGUUAAGGUCCCUAAAUGCUGGCUAAGUGUUAUUCGAAAAGGCGUCUCGACUCUCAGACAGCGGGAAGGUAGGCUUAGAAGCAGCCAUCCUUUAAAGAGUGCGUAACAGCGCACCCGCCGAGAGUCAAGGCCCUGAAAAUGGACGGGGCUCAAGCCAGCUGCCGAUACCCUAGAGCGCAGCCUGAGGCUGCGUCUGGUAGGAAGGCGUCCGAGUUGGGCCGAAGCUGGGCCGUGAGGUCCAGUGGACCGACUUGGAUUGCAGAUCCCGGUGGUAGUAACAGCUAAGACAGGUGAGAAUCCUGUCCGCCUGAAGGACAAGGGUUCCCCGGCAACGCGUCGUCAGCCGGGGGUUAGUCGAUCCUAAGGCCUCGUUUAACAUGCGAGGUCGAAAAAGGGAAGCCGGUUUACAUUCCGGCACCAGAGGGGUACACGCGGUAACGCAAGCCCUCAUGCUGACGCUUCGGGGCAGGUUGAGCGGGGCUGUCGCUCCGUCUAACUGUCAAAGCCUGGGAAGUACCGUAAAGGUGAGAACUAGGCGAAGGCAGGAAUGGCUUGCCGUUAGGCGAGUUCAGCUGGGCCCUGGAGCCAUGGAAAAGGCGUGGGGGAUGGAUCCCCUCUGAUCGUACCUAGAUCCGACACUGGUGUUCCUGCGUGAGAAGCGCAAGGCGUCUCGGGGUAUUCCACGGCGAGGGAACUUGGCAAUUUAGCCCCGUAACUUAGGGAUAAGGGGUGCCUGAGGCUGGGCUUCGGCUUGGUCUCAGGUCGCAGUAACUAAGGGGUCCCGACUGUUUACUAAACGGGCAAAGGCACCGGCUUAAUGUUCGAGAUGGAAAAAAGCAGAAUUCCCCGGGGACGGAAGUUGCAAUAAAAACCUGUGCCUGCUGCGUUCCAACAGACCGGACGAAUUCGAAGAUUUUUCAGAAAUAGCAAAAGCUCCAAUGCGAGAAUAGAUCGGCAGAACUUUGGAUUCCUUUGGCUCAAAGAUUCGUUGCGGAUUUGUUUGGUGCAGAGGCACGCUGAAGAUGGUGUCGUUGUAAAAUUCAUGGCUUGGUUAUAGAAUGCAUGAAACCUGGCGCGGAGGGCUCUCGCAUCUUCGCGCUCGGAUUGGGUGUUGAGUUUUCUAGAAAAUCUGAGAAGUUUGUUCCGUCUCAAAGGCCAAAGGUGCGCUUGCCCGAGUAACAAACACAGGGAGCCGCUAGUCCGAAAGGAUGUGCACGGCUCUUGAAUCCUGGCCAGUGGCGGUAUCUGAAUCCCAGGUUCAACUGGGCCAAGGACCGCUAAACGCCCGAGGUAACUCUGACCUUGUUAAGGUAGCCAAAUGCCUUGUCGGGUAAGUAGUUAUUUGUCCUAGAAAUUCUAGGAAAAUGACUUAUAGUCCGACGUGCUUGAACGGAGCAACGAGGGCCCCGCUGUCCCCGCCUGGAUCCCGGUGAACCCACAUAACGUGGCUGUACAGUCCACGAUCUCCCAACGGGACAAGAAAUUCUCUUAGAAAACCUAGGAGAACUUGCCGUCCACGUGGAGCUUUACUGCAUCCUGUAGCUGGGAUGUGGUCGCAGACGCAGAGCGUAGGCGGGAGCCGUUAUACUCAACCCUUCCGGGGGUUGGGAAGGCGACAAUGAAACACCGCCCGUCAGUGACCUAUUCUCUUACCGGGUGAAAGCCCGGGACAACUAUUGGUGGGCAGUUCGGCUGGGGCGGCCCCCUCUUGAAAAGAUAUCGAGAGGGCCCUAAGGUCAGCUCAGACGGAACAGAAACCCGUCGUAGAGUGCAAGGGCAAAAGCUGGCCUGAUUCGGUCCUGCAAAGUAGAGGACCGAAAGGCGAAAGCCUGGCCUAGCGAUCCUCCAUGUCCUUAUGGAUAGGGGCUGGAGGUGACAGAAAAGUUACCCCGUGAGUAAUUGGCUCGUCGCGGGCAAUAGUUCAUAUUGACCCCGCGGUUUGGUACCUCG